RNAcentral lists this microRNA precursor (102 nucleotides) under Prunus dulcis (almond). RNAcentral's name for it is "sRNA ncRNA". Lineage: Eukaryota; Viridiplantae; Streptophyta; Magnoliopsida; Rosales; Rosaceae. The record is from RNAcentral.
AUUCGAAUAUUUAAAUAGUAUAGCCGGGCGGCUAUACCUUCUAAAUAUAUUUGAAUAUUUAAAUAGUAUAGCCGAUCGGCUAUACGUUUUAAAUAUAUUUUA